Molecule: ribosomal RNA, 893 nt
Filed under: Bacillus subtilis
Lineage: Bacteria; Bacillati; Bacillota; Bacilli; Caryophanales; Bacillaceae
Also listed under: 1 other name
Description: bacterial SSU rRNA
Rfam family: Bacterial small subunit ribosomal RNA
Source: RNAcentral
UCGAGCGGACAGAUGGGAGCUUGCUCCCUGAUGUUAGCGGCGGACGGGUGAGUAACACGUGGGUAACCUGCCUGUAAGACUGGGAUAACUCCGGGAAACCGGGGCUAAUACCGGAUGGUUGUUUGAACCGCAUGGUUCAAACAUAAAAGGUGGCUUCGGCUACCACUUACAGAUGGACCCGCGGCGCAUUAGCUAGUUGGUGAGGUAACGGCUCACCAAGGCAACGAUGCGUAGCCGACCUGAGAGGGUGAUCGGCCACACUGGGACUGAGACACGGCCCAGACUCCUACGGGAGGCAGCAGUAGGGAAUCUUCCGCAAUGGACGAAAGUCUGACGGAGCAACGCCGCGUGAGUGAUGAAGGUUUUCGGAUCGUAAAGCUCUGUUGUUAGGGAAGAACAAGUACCGUUCGAAUAGGGCGGUACCUUGACGGUACCUAACCAGAAAGCCACGGCUAACUACGUGCCAGCAGCCGCGGUAAUACGUAGGUGGCAAGCGUUGUCCGGAAUUAUUGGGCGUAAAGGGCUCGCAGGCGGUUUCUUAAGUCUGAUGUGAAAGCCCCCGGCUCAACCGGGGAGGGUCAUUGGAAACUGGGGAACUUGAGUGCAGAAGAGGAGAGUGGAAUUCCACGUGUAGCGGUGAAAUGCGUAGAGAUGUGGAGGAACACCAGUGGCGAAGGCGACUCUCUGGUCUGUAACUGACGCUGAGGAGCGAAAGCGUGGGGAGCGAACAGGAUUAGAUACCCUGGUAGUCCACGCCGUAAACGAUGAGUGCUAAGUGUUAGGGGGUUUCCGCCCCUUAGUGCUGCAGCUAACGCAUUAAGCACUCCGCCUGGGGAGUACGGUCGCAAGACUGAAACUCAAAGGAAUUGACGGGGGCCCGCACAAGCGGUGGA